This 849-nucleotide long non-coding RNA is filed under the name Gossypium barbadense (sea-island cotton). RNAcentral's name for it is "long non-coding RNA (GBAR_LNC022640)". The record is from RNAcentral. Lineage: Eukaryota; Viridiplantae; Streptophyta; Magnoliopsida; Malvales; Malvaceae.
GUCUCGGUAUUGCUUAAAGGUCCAAAAUAGGCGUUUGAACACUUGGCAUCCACGUAGCAAUCGGCCGUUGUAGUACGCAUGUUCCGUUUCAAGGUCUGUGAUGGCACCUGGGAUGUAUCUCUCUAGCACCUGACACCACUGCCAUAUUUCAUUAUAUGAGGCGUCCCACCCCCUAUGCAUCUUCUCCAACGCCUUUUGCUUAGCUAUCCAAGCCUUGCGGUAAGAGGGCGUGUACCCCAUUUGGCUACGAAUAUUGGCAAUUAACACCGGCACUGAAGUCUUGGGAUCUACUUUUACCGUGGGCAGUAUCAAGCUAGCUAACAUAGUUGAAUCCAUCUUGGGAUGAUCUUGUGAAACACCUAUAAACCGAGUACAUUAAAUAAUGCAACAUUGCAUAAUAAAAGUAUUGUGGGCACACAUGCCUCCUUAACCUAGAGAGAAAGAAAUCCCAGUCAUCAGACGACUCCCCCGGUGUUAUUGCAAAUGCAAUUGGAAGAAUUAUCCCACCGCCAUUCUGUGCCACUGCAAGCAAUAGCUGAUGAGUAUACCUCCCGAACAUAAAGGUACCGUCAAUUUGUACCAAUGGCUUGCAGUAUGGAAAUGCGUCUCGGCAUUGCUUAAAGGUCCAAAACAGGCGUUUGAACACUUGGCAUCCACGUAGCAAUCGGUCGUUGUAGUACGCAUGUUCCGUUUCAAGGUCUGUGAUGGCACUUGGGACGUAUCUCUCUAGCACCUGACACCACUGCCAUAUUUCAUUAUAUGAGGCGUCCCACCCCCUAUGCAUCUUCUCCAACGCCUUUUGCUUAGCUAUCCAAGCCUUGCGGUAAGAGGGCGUGUACCCCAUUUGGC